GAUUAACGCUGGCGGCGUGCCUAACACAUGCAAGUCGAACGAAGUUGCGGACGGGUGAGUAACGCGUGAGUAACCUGCCUUAGAGAUGGGGAUAGCCUCUGGAAACGGAGAAUAAUACCCAAUGCUCUAAGAUGGACUUGCGUCUGAUUAGCUAGUUGGUGAGAUAAUGGCUCACCAAGGCAACGAUCAGUAGCCGGAUUGGGAGAGUGUACGGCCACAUUGGGCAUGAGACACGGCCCAGACUCUACGGGAGGCAGAAGUGGGGAAUGUUGCACAAUGGGGGAAACACUGAUGCAGCGACGCCGCAUGAUUUAGAAGGCCUGCUGGUUGUAAAAAUCUUUUGUAUAGGAAGCAGUACUAUACGAAUAAGGACAGGCUAAUUACGUGCCAGCAGCCGCGGUAAUAC
This 406-nucleotide ribosomal RNA is filed under the name uncultured bacterium. RNAcentral's name for it is "partial 16S ribosomal RNA". It matches the Rfam family "Bacterial small subunit ribosomal RNA", at positions 28 to 526 of the family's 1533-position model. The record is from RNAcentral.